Long non-coding RNA from Helianthus annuus (common sunflower), 637 nucleotides. RefSeq lists it as uncharacterized. Lineage: Eukaryota; Viridiplantae; Streptophyta; Magnoliopsida; Asterales; Asteraceae. The transcript has 2 exons. The record is from RefSeq and is a predicted model, not a curated record.
AUAAAUGUGUUUGAGCAAAAUAUGUAGUUGAACCACAAACACAUUUAGAAGUAUUCUUGCACUUGUCAAUGGGUCGAGACGUCAGAAGAAGACGUUAACAAUCUUGUAAUUUUAUACUUUUCCUUUUCUACAAAAUUUAUCACAUUUAUAAUAGAAGCCAUCACGUUUAUUAUGAAAGUAAAUAACCUAUACACAAAUCCAAGGAAGUAAAAACGUUUAACAUCAUCUUCUAAUGUGUCACUUUUAGGUUUGGUUAAACUGAAUUAAAAGUGACCUUAUUCUUAUAUAAUCAUAAGAUCUAAAGCGUCCUAGAAUCACAUCAUAUUUAGGUUGAAAUACAACUAUACAAGAUACUAGUACGUAUUUAACUUGACACACCCUUAUAUGUGUUUGUAGUGAGAGCUUGAAAAAUGUCUUCUCUCCACAUGGAUUUUAUAUAGUUCUCCAUGAGAGGAAGGUUGAUUGUUGAGAUGAUGUACAAGAUGAAACAAGAUUUAGAUGGACUUAGAUACACACCUAGAUUAAUUUAUCUAUUUUGAUGUUAUGUUUAUUAUUGAGACAAUAUUGUUUCCUUUUAUUUGAAUCUUGUAUGACACUCUAGUUUUGAAAUGAAAUUCGAAUUUAAUUGUUAUUCUCA